AUUGAACGCUGGCGGCAGGCUUAACACAUGCAAGUCGAGCGAUCGGCGGACGGGUGAGUAAUGUCUGGGAAACUGCCUGAUGGAGGGGGAUACCUACUGGAACCGGUAGCUAAUACCGCAUACCAUCAGAUGUGCCCAGAUGUGAUUAGCUAGUAGGUGGGGUAAUGGCUCACCUAGGCGACGAUCCCUAGCUGGUCUGAGAGGAUGACCGGCAAACCGGGAACUGGGAAACGGUCCAGACUCCGACGGGAGGAAGCAGAGGGGAAUAUUGCACAAGGGGCGAAAGCCGGAUACAGCCAGGCCGCGUGUGGGAAGAAGGCCUUCGGGUUGUAAAGCACUUUCAGCGAGGAGGCGUUACUCGCAGAAGAAGCACCGGCUAACUCCGUGCCAGCAGCCGCGGUAAUUC
RNAcentral lists this ribosomal RNA (406 nucleotides) under uncultured bacterium. Its description in RNAcentral is "partial 16S ribosomal RNA". It matches the Rfam family "Bacterial small subunit ribosomal RNA", at positions 29 to 526 of the family's 1533-position model. The record is from RNAcentral.